GGCUUGUAGUCAUAUGCUUGUCUCAAAGAUUAAGCCAUGCAUGUCUAAGUAUAAGCUUUUAUACAGUGAAACUGCGAAUGGCUCAUUAAAUCAGUUAUCGUUUAUUUGAUAGUACCCUACUACAUGGAUACCUGUGGUAAUUCUAGAGCUUAUACAUGCGCAAAACCCCGACUUCGGAAGGGGUGUAUUUAUUAGAUAAAAAACCAAUGCCCUCCGGGGCUCCUUGGUGAUUCAUAAUAACUUAACGAAUCGCAUGGCCUUGCGCCGGCGAUGGUUCAUUCAGAUUUCUGCCCUAUCAACUUUCGAUGGUAGGAUAGUGGCCUACCAUGGUGGCAACGGGUAACGGGGGAAUUANGGUUCGAUUCCGGAGANGGGAGCCUGAGAAACGGGCUACCACAUCCAAGGAAGGCAGCAGGCGCGCAAAUUACCCAAUCCCGAUUCGGGGAGGAGNGACAAUAAAUACUGAUGNANGGCUCUUUUGG
RNAcentral lists this ribosomal RNA (482 nucleotides) under uncultured Trichocomaceae. Its description in RNAcentral is "SSU rRNA". It matches the Rfam family "Eukaryotic small subunit ribosomal RNA", at positions 21 to 499 of the family's 1831-position model. Lineage: Eukaryota; Fungi; Ascomycota; Eurotiomycetes; Eurotiales; Trichocomaceae. The record is from RNAcentral.